AACGAACGCUGGCGGCAUGCCUAACACAUGCAAGUCGAACGAGACCUUCGGGUCUAGUGGCGCACGGGUGCGCAACGCGUGGGAACCUGCCCUUAGGUUCGGAAUAACUCCCCGAAAGGGGUGCUAAUACCGGAUAAUGUCUUCGGACCAAAGAUUUAUCGCCUUUGGAUGGGCCCGCGUUGGAUUAGCUAGUUGGUAGGGUAAAAGCCUACCAAGGCGACGAUCCAUAGCUGGUCUGAGAGGAGGAUCAGCCACACUGGGACUGAGACACGGCCCAGACUCCUACGGGAGGCAGCAGUGGGGAAUAUUGGACAAUGGGCGAAAGCCUGAUCCAGCAAUGCCGCGUGAGUGAUGAAGGCCUUAGGGUUGUAAAGCUCUUUUACCCGGGAUGAUAAUGACAGUACCGGGAGAAUAAGCUCCGGCUAACUCCGUG
Molecule: ribosomal RNA, 433 nt
Filed under: uncultured bacterium
Lineage: Bacteria
Description: partial 16S ribosomal RNA
Rfam family: Bacterial small subunit ribosomal RNA
Source: RNAcentral